RNAcentral lists this long non-coding RNA (238 nucleotides) under Populus tremula. Its description in RNAcentral is "long non-coding RNA (PTRE_LNC000492)". The record is from RNAcentral. Lineage: Eukaryota; Viridiplantae; Streptophyta; Magnoliopsida; Malpighiales; Salicaceae.
UUACCGAAUGGUCUGAUCAGCCGGUCACUUUUGAAAUCCCAGAUCAAAAUCAAACAUUUCCAAAAUUCAAACCAUGGGGUUUCUCAGCAACCAAACACUACUUCCACGACACAAUAUCCGAGAUUCUCUUCCAACCUCAAUUUAUAAACUUCUGAAAACACAAAACUCCUUUAACCUCCAUGUAAAAACACAACAUACCAUGAAAUCACCCUUGGAAAACUGAAAACAUCUAAAACUG